GUUUGAGCUGGUUGCUCCACCACCUGGCUCUCAUCACCCAUUCUUGAGUUUGUAACUCAGUCAAAUUUUGCUGCCUGUGCGACUUUCUGAAGCACACGAAUCUCACCUUUAGAGAGUUUAUCACACAGUGAUAUCUGAGUGAAAUCAAUUGCAAAAUUCAAACAGGAAGCAUGCACAGUU
Molecule: long non-coding RNA, 180 nt
Organism: Podarcis raffonei (Aeolian wall lizard)
Lineage: Eukaryota; Metazoa; Chordata; Lepidosauria; Squamata; Lacertidae
Exons: 2
Source: RefSeq, a predicted model, not a curated record